This 1341-nucleotide ribosomal RNA is filed under the name uncultured bacterium. RNAcentral describes it as "partial 16S ribosomal RNA". It matches the Rfam family "Bacterial small subunit ribosomal RNA", at positions 28 to 1381 of the family's 1533-position model. The record is from RNAcentral.
GACGAACGCUGGCGGCGUGCUUAACACAUGCAAGUCGAACGGUAAGGCUCCAGCUUGCUGGGGUACACGAGUGGCGAACGGGUGAGUAACACGUGGGUGACCUGCCCUGCACUUCGGGAUAAGCCUGGGAAACUGGGUCUAAUACCGGAUAGGACCGCACCGUGAGGGUGUGGUGGAAAGUUUUUUCGGUGUGGGAUGGGCCCGCGGCCUAUCAGCUUGUUGGUGGGGUAAUGGCCUACCAAGGCGGCGACGGGUAGCCGGCCUGAGAGGGUGGACGGCCACAUUGGGACUGAGACACGGCCCAGACUCCUACGGGAGGCAGCAGUGGGGAAUAUUGCACAAUGGGCGGAAGCCUGAUGCAGCGACGCCGCGUGGGGGAUGACGGCCUUCGGGUUGUAAACUCCUUUCACCAUCGACGAAGGGUUUCUGACGGUAGAUGGAGAAGAAGCACCGGCUAACUACGUGCCAGCAGCCGCGGUAAUACGUAGGGUGCGAGCGUUGUCCGGAAUUACUGGGCGUAAAGAGCUCGUAGGUGGUUUGUCGCGUCGUCUGUGAAAUUCCGGGGCUUAACUCCGGGCGUGCAGGCGAUACGGGCAUAACUUGAGUACUGUAGGGGAGACUGGAAUUCCUGGUGUAGCAGUGAAAUGCGCAGAUAUCAGGAGGAACACCGGUGGCGAAGGCGGGUCUCUGGGCAGUAACUGACGCUGAGGAGCGAAAGCAUGGGGAGCGAACAGGAUUAGAUACCCUGGUAGUCCAUGCCGUAAACGGUGGGCGCUAGGUGUGGGUUUCCUUCCACGGGAUCCGUGCCGUAGCUAACGCAUUAAGCGCCCCGCCUGGGGAGUACGGCCGCAAGGCUAAAACUCAAAGGAAUUGACGGGGGCCCGCACAAGCGGCGGAGCAUGUGGAUUAAUUCGAUGCAACGCGAAGAACCUUACCUGGGCUUGACAUAUACAGGAUCGCGCCAGAGAUGGUGUUUCCCUUGUGGCUUGUAUACAGGUGGUGCAUGGUUGUCGUCAGCUCGUGUCGUGAGAUGUUGGGUUAAGUCCCGCAACGAGCGCAACCCUUGUCUUAUGUUGCCAGCACGUUGUGGUGGGGACUCGUAAGAAACUGCCGGGGUUAACUCGGAGGAAGGUGGGGAUGACGUCAAAUCAUCAUGCCCCUUAUGUCCAGGGCUUCACACAUGCUACAAUGGUCGGUACAGUGGGUUGCCAGUCCGUGAGGGCGAGCUAAUCCCGCAAAGCCGGUCUCAGUUCGGAUCGGGGUCUGCAACUCGACCCCGUGAAGUCGGAGUCGCUAGUAAUCGCAGAUCAGCAACGCUGCGGUGAAUACGUUCCCGGGUCU